Molecule: long non-coding RNA, 1208 nt
Filed under: Phascolarctos cinereus (koala)
Lineage: Eukaryota; Metazoa; Chordata; Mammalia; Diprotodontia; Phascolarctidae
Description: lncRNA (ENSPCIG00000034121.1)
Source: RNAcentral
CAAUUAUGGGCAACUUGUAAAUGAACUGUAAGUUAAGAUCAUCACUGAAAACUCACCAGGCCCAGCCCUACAUCCACUUAUGUGGUUCUGUUGGGAAGCUAAAGGACUAAGACUUCUCUCCCCACUGAGGUCUUUCAGCCUUUUUUUGCCUUUUCAUGGGAACACAUUCAGAGGACCACCCUUACUUUGGCUGGUAAGUAUCUUUUGAAUAAACCCAGUUCUGGUCACACAGCUAAUCUGUCUCUUCAUCACAUAGUAGCCAGAAGGGAAUCAGAAUAUGCAUGCUCUAAAUUGAGGGAUAGAACAUGUCGACUACAUGUCAUCGAGCGUUUCUAGAAGGAAGCAUCCUUACCUCUUUCAUAUGAGGAUGACAUCAAUUGAGCUUGCUGCACAAGCUUAUAAGAACUAGGCUAGGGGGGCAGCGAGGUGGCGCAGUGGAUAGAACACCAGCCCUGAAGUCUGGAGGACCUGAGUUCAAAUCCGGCCUCAGACCAAACACUUAAUACUUACUAGCUGUGUGACCCUGGGCAAGUCACUUAACCCCAAUUGCCUAAAAAGAAAAAAAAAAGAACUAGGCUAGGGGCAGCGAGGUGGCUCAGUGGAUAGAGUACCAGCCCUGGAGUCAGGAGGACCUGAUAGACAUGAUGAGAUCUAGAGGUUUAGGGGUGCUGGGACCCUAAGAUCGCGACUGGGCCCUGCUUGAAUGAAUUCAACCCAAAUCUUCUUUCAGCCAGAGGAAAGGUUUAUUAGAGAUAAAUCAUAUAGGCCAGACUCUUAAGGAGUCUGAACAUUAGUAACACCUGUAGGGACCAGCAGGCAAGAGAAAGUCACAGCCUUGUGGGCAUGAGAGUCUCAGCGUUUGAAUGGGGGCCAGAAUGGAUCUUAUAUACACUAAAGUAACUUUGGUGGCCACAGGAGGGGGCUAGGAAAAGGGUUUGGUGAGAAUUCUGAUUGGAAGGUCUGAGAGAUUGAAUAGACAAUGGGGACAGCUAAUGGAGGGAACUAGAACGAAGAAGUUUGAAAGGCAUCUGCACAAAAUUAAAGGGUGGGGCUAGGGCUCUAAAAGGGAGAUAAGGGCAGUCCAUAAAGAACCUGAAAGUUUAAGGAUUUUCUGGGGCCUGUAGACAAACGGGAGCCAGAUUCUUUUUAGGGCAAGGGUCGAAAGUGUGUCUAAAUAAGAUCAAAAGGUAGGGCUAAGGCUUUCCCAG